GACGAACGCUGGCGGCGUGCUUAACACAUGCAAGUCGAACGGAAAGGCCCUGCUUUUGUGUGGUGCUCGCGUGGCGAACGGGUGAGUAACCCGUGAGUAACCUGCCCUUUACUUUGGGACAACUUCAGGAGACCGGUGCUAAUACCUGAUAGGUGCUCCUGCUGCAUGGUGGGGGUUGGACAGCUUCGGUGGAAGGGGAUGUACGCGCGGGUUAUCAGCUUGUUGGUGGGGGAGUUGCUUACCCAGGCUUUGACGGGUAGCCGGCCUGGGAGGGGGACCGGGGACAUGAGGACUAAGAUACGGACCAGACUCCAACGGGGGGCAGCAGUGGGGAGUCUUGCACAGCGGGCGGAAGCCUGAGGCAGCAACGCCGCGUGCGGGAAGAAGGUCUUCGGGUUGUAAACCGCUUUCGCCUGUGACGAUGCGGGAGUGACGGUAAUGGGUAAAGAAGCACCGGCUAACUACGUG
RNAcentral lists this ribosomal RNA (468 nucleotides) under uncultured bacterium. RNAcentral's name for it is "partial 16S ribosomal RNA". It matches the Rfam family "Bacterial small subunit ribosomal RNA", at positions 28 to 507 of the family's 1533-position model. The record is from RNAcentral.